CGUGGUAUACCCCACCCGUGUCUAUCUACUCUUGUUGCUUUGGCAGGCCGUGGUCUUCCACUGUGGGCUCUGCCUGCAUGUGCCUGCCAGAGGACCAAACUCUGAAUUUUAGUGAUGUCUGAGUACUAUAUAAUAGUUAAAACUUUCAACAACGGAUCUCUUGGUUCUGGCAUCGAUGAAGAACGCAGCGAAAUGCGAUAAGUAAUGUGAAUUGCAGAAUUCAGUGAAUCAUCGAAUCUUUGAACGCACAUUGCGCCCUGUGGUAUUCCGCAGGGCAUGCCUGUUCGAGCGUCAUUACAACCAAAAUUAAGCCCAGCUUAGUGUUGGGGUUCGCAGUUCUGCGGCCCUUAAUAUCAGUGGCGGUGCCUGUAGGCUCUGAGCGUAGUAAUUCUUCUCGCUAUAGAACCCUAUAAGUGUCUUGCCAAAACCCCCAUAUUUUUUCAGGUUGACCUCGGAUCAGGUAGGGAUACCCGCUGAACUUAAGCAUAUC
This 490-nucleotide ribosomal RNA is filed under the name Phialocephala sphaeroides. RNAcentral describes it as "eukaryotic LSU rRNA". The stretch from base 141 to 294 matches the Rfam family "5.8S ribosomal RNA". The record is from RNAcentral. Lineage: Eukaryota; Fungi; Ascomycota; Leotiomycetes; Helotiales; Mollisiaceae.